This 73-nucleotide transfer RNA is filed under the name Viscum coloratum. RNAcentral's name for it is "tRNA-Ile". It matches the Rfam family "tRNA". From Rfam's summary of the family: Transfer RNA (tRNA) molecules are approximately 80 nucleotides in length. Their secondary structure includes four short double-helical elements and three loops (D, anti-codon, and T loops). The record is from RNAcentral. Lineage: Eukaryota; Viridiplantae; Streptophyta; Magnoliopsida; Santalales; Viscaceae.
GGGCGAUUAGCUCAGUGGUAGAGCGCGCCCCUGAUCACGGGCGAGGUCUCUGGUUCAAGUCCAGGAUGGCCCA